CUCAUGGCCGUGGGAAAGGGUUUAAACGGCAUUUCAACCCGGGUUCUAAUCGCUCGUCUCCGCUCAGCUUCAGUGUGAAAGGCACAGCCGGGUCGACGCGCUGGUUUCCGUGAUGACGUCGCCGUAGUGUGGCUACGUUAGCAUGCUAGUAGCUUCUGGACACAGCCUGAGAAAUCCUUCAAGACGACCCAGCAUUGAUCAGAGAGCUUCUCUUCACCCGUAGGGAAGAGGAGAUCCGUCGACUCCUCUCCAUUGUUUACCUCGCUGUGCUCCGUCACGCUGAUGAUGUCAUCAACGUGGGACACCAUCAGCAGCUCUCCUGCAGGCGAUCAGACCCGGGUCUGCAGGCGGGGGAAAGGAGGCAAGUCUCUGAGUAUGGAGA
Molecule: long non-coding RNA, 382 nt
Organism: Salarias fasciatus (jewelled blenny)
Lineage: Eukaryota; Metazoa; Chordata; Actinopteri; Blenniiformes; Blenniidae
Exons: 3
Source: RefSeq, a predicted model, not a curated record